CAGCGCCUGGUGCAGCAUGGUGCGCACGCUGUCGGCCAUGUGGCGCAGUUCGAUCACCGGGAUGUGGCGCAGUUCGGCCUCGUGGAUGCGGC
Molecule: transfer RNA, 92 nt
Filed under: Achromobacter agilis
Lineage: Bacteria; Pseudomonadati; Pseudomonadota; Betaproteobacteria; Burkholderiales; Alcaligenaceae
Description: tRNA-Gly
Source: RNAcentral